GGGAAGGAUGAGAAGCUUCGACUAAGGUUCGAUUCGAGCGAAAGCGAGAAAGCGUUGCCGCAGGCAACGACCCGAAGGGCGAAGCGCGCAGCGCUGAGUAAUCCUUCCCCCACCACCA
Molecule: small RNA, 118 nt
Filed under: Salmonella enterica
Lineage: Bacteria; Pseudomonadati; Pseudomonadota; Gammaproteobacteria; Enterobacterales; Enterobacteriaceae
Also listed under: 2 other names
Description: RtT sRNA
Rfam family: RtT RNA
About the family: This family represents a bacterial cis-regulatory element known as RtT RNA. The exact function of RtT is unknown although it is thought that it may be involved in changing the cellular response in relation to amino acid starvation.
Source: RNAcentral